GUGGGGAAUAUUGGGCAAUGGGCGAAAGCCUGACCCAGCAACGCCGCGUGAAGGAAGAAGGUCUUCGGAUCGUAAACUUCUAUCCUUGGUGAAGAUAAUGACGGUAGCCGAGAAGGAAGCCCCGGCUAACUACGUGCCAGCAGCCGCGGUAAUACAGAGGUCUCAAGCGUUGUUCGGAAUUAUUGGGCGUAAAGGGCGCGUAGGCGGGAAGGUGUGUCGACCUGUAAAUCUAUCGUUUCAAGCGGUAGGCUUGGGUUGAAACUGCCUUUCUAGAGGAUUUCAGGGGAGUUUGGAAUUUACGGUGUAGCAGUGAAAUGCGUGGAUAUCGUAAGGAAGGCUUGUGGCGAAGGCGAAACUCUGGGGAAUACCUGACGCUGAGGCGCGAAGGCUAGGUUAGCAAACGGGAUUAGAUACCCUGGUAGUCC
This 425-nucleotide ribosomal RNA is filed under the name uncultured bacterium. Its description in RNAcentral is "partial 16S ribosomal RNA". It matches the Rfam family "Bacterial small subunit ribosomal RNA", at positions 354 to 796 of the family's 1533-position model. The record is from RNAcentral.